RNAcentral lists this unclassified non-coding RNA (291 nucleotides) under uncultured fungus. Its description in RNAcentral is "partial contains small subunit ribosomal RNA, internal transcribed spacer 1, and 5.8S ribosomal RNA". The stretch from base 1 to 73 matches the Rfam family "Eukaryotic small subunit ribosomal RNA", at positions 1759 to 1831 of the family's 1831-position model. Lineage: Eukaryota; Fungi. The record is from RNAcentral.
GCAAACUUGGUCAUUUAGAGGAAGUAAAAGUCGUAACAAGGUCUCCGUAGGUGAACCUGCGGAGGGAUCAUUACCGAGUUCAUGCCCUUACGGGUAGAUCUCCCACCCUAUGUUAUAAUUACCAUUGUUGCUUUGGCAGGCCGUCAGGCUUCGGUCAGGCUACCGGCUCCGGCUGGUAAGCGCCUGCCAGAGGACCCUAAACUCUGAAUAUUAGUGUUGUCUGAGUACUAUAAAAUAGUUAAAACUUUCAACAACGGAUCUCUUGGUUCUGGCAUCGAUGAAGAACGCAGC